Long non-coding RNA from Oncorhynchus tshawytscha (Chinook salmon), 437 nucleotides. Lineage: Eukaryota; Metazoa; Chordata; Actinopteri; Salmoniformes; Salmonidae. The record is from Ensembl.
GAGACAGGUAGAGAGAGAGGGAUAGAUGGAGGGAGAGGUAGAGACAGGUAGAGAGAGAGGGAUAGAUGGAGGGAGGGAGAGGUAGAGACAGGUAGAGACAGGUAGAGAGAGAGGGAUAGAUGGAGGGAGAGGUAGAGACAGGUAGAGAGAGGGGGAUAGAUGGAGGGAGAGGUAGAGACAGGUAGAGAGAGAGGGAUAGAUGGAGGGAGAGAGAGGUAGAGAGAGAGGGAUAGAUGGAGGGAGAGGUAGAGACAGGUAGAGAGAGAGGGAUAGAUGGAGGGAGGGAGAGGUAGAGACAGGUAGAGAGAGAGGGAUAGAUGGAGGGAGGGAGAGGUAGAGACAGGUAGAGACAGGUAGAGAGAGAUGGAUAGAUGGAGGGAGAGGUAGAGACAGGUAGAGAGAGGGGGAUAGAUGGAGGGAGAGGUAGAGACAGGUAG